Molecule: ribosomal RNA, 468 nt
Filed under: uncultured bacterium
Lineage: Bacteria
Description: partial 16S ribosomal RNA
Rfam family: Bacterial small subunit ribosomal RNA
Source: RNAcentral
GACGAACGCUGGCGGCGUGCUUAACACAUGCCAGUCGAACGGAAAGGCCCUGCUUUUGUGGGGUGCUCGAGUGGCGAACGGGUGAGUACCACGUGAGUAACCUGCCCUUGACUUUGGGAUAACUUCAGGAAACUGGGGCUAAUACCGGUUAGGAGCUCCUGCUGCAUGGUGUGGGUUGGAAAGUUUCGGCGGUUGGGGAUGGACUCGCGGCUUAUCAGCUUGUUGGUUGGGUAGUGGCUUACCAAGGCUUUGACGGGUAGCCGGCCUGAGAGGGUGACCGGCCACAUUGGGACUGAGAUAAGGCCCAGACUCCUACGGGAGGCAGCAGUGGGGAAUAUUGCACAAUGGGCGGAAGCCUGAUGCAGCAACGCCGCGUGCGGGAUGACGGCCUUCGGGUUGUAAACCGCUGCCGCCUGUGACGAAGCGGGAGUGACGGUAAUGCGUAAAGAAGCCCCCGCUAACUACGUG